UGGUGGAGUGAUUUGUCUGGUUAUUCCGUUAACGAACGAGACCUCAGCCUGCUAAAUAGUUUGCGUUUUCUCACGAAAGCGUAGUUACUUCUUAGAGGGACAUUUCGGUUUUACCGGAAGGAAGUUUGAGGCAAUAACA
RNAcentral lists this ribosomal RNA (139 nucleotides) under uncultured eukaryote. RNAcentral describes it as "partial 18S ribosomal RNA". It matches the Rfam family "Eukaryotic small subunit ribosomal RNA", at positions 1299 to 1458 of the family's 1831-position model. The record is from RNAcentral.